UCCAGACUCCUACGGGAGGCAGCAGUGGGGAAUAUUGCACAAUGGGGGGAACCCUGAUGCAGCGACGCCGCGUGAGUGAAGAAGUAUUUCGGUACGUAAAGCUCUAUCAGCAGGGAAGAAAAAAGGACGGUACCUGAGUAAGAAGCCCCGGCUAACUACGUGCCAGCAGCCGCGGUAAUACGUAGGGGGCAAGCGUUACCCGGAUUUACUGGGUGUAAAGGGAGCGUAGACGGCAGUGCAAGUCUGAAGUGAAAGCCCCGGGCUUAACCCGGGAACUGCUUUGGAAACUGUACGGCUGGAGUGCUGGAGAGGUAAGCGGAAUUCCUAGUGUAGCGGUGAAAUGCGUAGAUAUUAGGAGGAACACCAGUGGCGAAGGCGGCUUACUGGACAGUAACUGACGUUGAGGCUCGAAAGCGUGGGGAGCAAACAGGAUUAGAUACCCCUGUAGC
Molecule: ribosomal RNA, 449 nt
Filed under: uncultured bacterium
Lineage: Bacteria
Description: bacterial SSU rRNA
Rfam family: Bacterial small subunit ribosomal RNA
Source: RNAcentral